UCAGUGAAAUUGAACUCGCUGUGAAGAUGCAGUGUACCCGCGGCAAGACGGAAAGACCCCGUGAACCUUUACUAUAGCUUGACACUGAACAUUGAGCCUUGAUGUGUAGGAUAGGUGGGAGGCUUUGAAGUGUGGACGCCAGUCUGCAUGGAGCCGACCUUGAAAUACCACCCUUUAAUGUUUGAUGUUCUAACGUUGGCCCCUAAUCGGGGUUGCGGACAGUGUCUGGUGGGUAGUUUGACUGGGGCGGUCUCCUCCUAAAGAGUAACGGAGGAGCACGAAGGUUGGCUAAUCCUGGUCGGACAUCAGGAGGUUAGUGCAAUGGCAUAAGCCAGCUUGACUGCGAGCGUGACGGCGCGAGCAGGUGCGAAAGCAGGUCAUAGUGAUCCGGUGGUUCUGAAUGGAAGGGCCAUCGCUCAACGGAUAAAAGGUACUCCGGGGAUAACAGGCUGAUACCGCCCAAGAGUUCAUAUCGACGGCGGUGUUUGGCACCUCGAUGUCGGCUCAUCACAUCCUGGGGCUGAAGUAGGUCCCAAGGGUAUGGCUGUUCGCCAUUUAAAGUGGUACGCGAGCUGGGUUUAGAACGUCGUGAGACAGUUCGGUCCCUAUCUGCCGUGGGCGCUGGAGAACUGAGGGGGGCUGCUCCUAGUACGAGAGGACCGGAGUGGACGCAUCACUGGUGUUCGGGUUGUCAUGCCAAUGGCACUGCCCGGUAGCUAAAUGCGGAAGAGAUAAGUGCUGAAAGCAUCUAAGCACGAAACUUGCCCCGAGAUGAGUUCUCCCUGACUCCUUGAGGGUCCUGAAGGAACGUUGAAGACGACGACGUUGAUAGGCCGGGUGUGUAAGCGCAGCGAUGCGUUGAGCUAACCGGUACUAAUGAACCGUGAGGC
Molecule: ribosomal RNA, 890 nt
Filed under: Escherichia coli
Lineage: Bacteria; Pseudomonadati; Pseudomonadota; Gammaproteobacteria; Enterobacterales; Enterobacteriaceae
Description: partial 23S ribosomal RNA
Rfam family: Bacterial large subunit ribosomal RNA
Source: RNAcentral